UUCCUUUUUGGUUUGUAUGCUCUUUGUGGACUAGUUCUGCUCUUUUCUAAUCUAUGAAAUUCUUAUAUUGCUUAAAAAAAAUAAGAGAAAAAAAAAACAAUUUUACUGAGCAAUUGAGAUAACCAAACCAAAUCUUUGUCUCAAUCAAUUGGGGUCUGCUACGUAAAUCCUUUUGUGCGUUCGGUAGACUAACAACACACAAAAACUCUGCCAAAUCUCUCAUGAAAUGAAUCCUAUUACAAACAUUAGAUAGUUUUACGUAAAAUACACGUAUUGUUUCCAAAUUAUGUUUAGUGUGAAUAUGGUCUUUUAAGUUCAAUUAUUUUCUAUUUCUUUAUUAAAGUCAUCUAUUUAUGUCAACUUAGUCAAAUUUUAAAAGGGUUUUUAAAUAGUCCCUCAUGUAACAGUUUCAUGUCACUUUGGUUCUCGUAUUUUUAAUUUUUUGUAAAUUCAGUCCCUAAACACUGUAAUACAAUGUGUGGAUGGUUGGAAUCUAUUUGAAGAAUGAAAAUGUAAUUUCAUGAUUCAACUAUCAAGAACAUAUUACAAUAGAGAAGUGUUAAUUACAUACUCAAAAUGUAAUCAGAGUCCCAAACUAGAGCACUGUUCUAAAAAGCGGCCGCCUAGGCGGUGCCUAGGCGCUAGGCGGGAGUGUCCCGCUUCGAUCAGUUUAGGUGUCGCCUAGGCAGCAUCCCUUGAUGUUUAAAGUAAUAUUUCAAAAAAAAUAUUUUCAUUAACUUAACGGAAUUGGAUUGCAUUAGUAAUAACAAGUUUUUUUUCUAGAAUGGAAUCAUUUUAUUUUAAAAAGAAAAAGAAACAACUAGAAAUAAUUCAACAUUGAACAUUUGGCGAAAUAGUUUCUAAUUUCUAUAUAUUUUAAAUACCUAAAU
This 890-nucleotide long non-coding RNA is filed under the name Actinidia chinensis (golden kiwifruit). RNAcentral's name for it is "long non-coding RNA (ACHI_LNC000839)". Lineage: Eukaryota; Viridiplantae; Streptophyta; Magnoliopsida; Ericales; Actinidiaceae. The record is from RNAcentral.